This 288-nucleotide long non-coding RNA is filed under the name Lathyrus oleraceus (garden pea). RNAcentral's name for it is "Pisum sativum (pea) long non-coding RNA (PSAT_LNC008160)". The record is from RNAcentral. Lineage: Eukaryota; Viridiplantae; Streptophyta; Magnoliopsida; Fabales; Fabaceae.
UUCUUUCCAAUUUGACAAAUCUCACAUACUCCAUUCAGAAUAUUCACAACAGGCAAUCCAGAAACAUAUUCUUUUCUUGACAAGUAAUUCAAGCCAGAAAAAUGAAAGUGACCAAAUCUCAUGUGCCACAACCAAUCAUCAUUUGGAAUAAUAGAACUUAAGCAAGGAAAUUUUUCAUGUUGAAUUUUCAAAGGAAAUAAGCGGUUCGAUGUCAUUCUUACUUUUGUGAUAAAUCUUCCAUUUCUGUCCAUCAACGUGCAAAAACCAUUGUGAAUCUGCAUGUUGUAA